This 2304-nucleotide ribosomal RNA is filed under the name anaerobic digester metagenome. Its description in RNAcentral is "bacterial LSU rRNA". It matches the Rfam family "Bacterial large subunit ribosomal RNA", at positions 3 to 2024 of the family's 2925-position model. The record is from RNAcentral.
UCAAGCUAGAAAGAGCAUAGGGUGAAUGCCUUGGCACUAGGAGCCGACGAAGGACGUAGCGAUCUGCGAUAAGCCAUGGUUAGCCGAAAGCAGGCUUAGACCCAUGGAUUUCCGAAUGGGGAAACCCACCUGGCUGAUAAACCAGGUAUCCAUCACUGAAUUCAUAGGUGAUGAGAAGGUAUACCCGGGGAACUGAAACAUCUAAGUACCCGGAGGAAGAGAAAGAAACAUCGAUUUCCUAAGUAGCGGCGAGCGAACGGGAAAGAGCCCAAACCGUAUUAGUUUACUAAUGCGGGGUUGUGGACCGGAGAAAGGUUAGAUAUUGCUAGUCGAACAAACUGGAAAGUUAGACCAAAGAAGGUGACAGUCCUGUAGACGAAAGCGAUAGACAACUGUCCGGUAUCCAGAGUACCACGGGACACGUGAAACCCUGUGGGAAGCAGGGGGGACCACCCCCCAAGGCUAAAUACUCCCUAGUGACCGAUAGAGAACAAGUACCGUGAGGGAAAGGUGAAAAGCACCCCGGGAGGGGAGUGAAAGAGAACCUGAAACCCUAUGUUUACAAUCUGUGGAAGCACGUUAAAGUGCGACCGCGUACUUUUUGUAGAACGGACCGGCGAGUUACAAUCAUGAUGCAAGGUUAAGGACUAAAGGUCUGAAGCCGAAGGGAAACCGAGUCUUAACAGGGCGCCUAAGUAUCAGGUUGUAGACCCGAAACCAGGUGACCUAUCCAUGGACAGGAUGAAACGAAAGUAAAAUUUCGCGGAGGUCCGAACCCACCAGUGUUGAAAAACUGGGGGAUGAUCUGUGGAUAGCGGUGAAAUGCCAAUCGAACCUGGAGAUAGCUGGUUCUCCUCGAAAUAGCUUUAGGGCUAGCCUCGGAGGAAGAGUCAUGGAGGUAGAGCACUGAAUGGGCUAGGGGGCCAACAAGCUUACCGAACCCUAUCAAACUCCGAAUGCCAUAGACUUGCUUUCCGGGAGUCAGACUAUGUGAGAUAAGUUUCAUAGUCAAAAGGGAAACAGCCCAGAUCAUCAGCUAAGGUCCCAAAGUACAGGUUAAGUGGAAAAGGAUGUGGGAUUGCACAGACAACCAGGAUGUUGGCUUAGAAGCAGCCACACAUUUAAAGAGUGCGUAAUAGCUCACUGGUCGAGUGGUCCUGCGCCGAAAAUGUCCGGGGCUCAAACCUGUCACCGAAGCUAUGGGUUAUCAUAGGAUUACUGAUAUUCUUAGGACAUUUAGUCAAUGUAUCAAUAAGCAAGCUAAAAGAUAUUGACUAAAUGUUAUAUGAAGUGAAAACCUAAUACCAUCAAGAAGUAUUAGGACAUUUCGUCAAAACCGACCUAAAAAGUAUAAUUAGAGGUUUUGACACAAAUAGCCCUAGGGAUCAAACCUAGAGGUGGUGCUAUGAGUGAUAGUAUGAGAAUGCAUACUAGAAGGCAGUGCUAUGAGUGAUAGUAUGAGAAUGCAUACUAGGGUAAAUAGCAUUAAGGAUAUCAGUAAUCCUAUGAUAGCGGUAGAGGAGCAUCGUAUACUGGCAGAAGCCAUACCGAGAGGAGUGGUGGACGGUAUACGAGAGAGAAUGCCGGUAUGAGUAGCGAGAGCGAAGUGAGAAUCUUUGCCGUCGAAAGCCUAAGGUUUCCUGAGGAAGGUUCGUCCGCUCAGGGUAAGUCGGGGCCUAAGCCGAGAGCGAAAGCUGUAGGCGAUGGACAAUCGGUUGAAAUUCCGAUACCACCUAAUAUCCGCUUGAGAGAAGCAGUGACACAGAAGGAUAGAUGAAGCGAGUUGUUGGUAGAGCUCGUUUAAGCAGUUAGUCUGGGGAGUGAGUGAAGUACCACUUUCUAAGGAUGAGCUGUGAUGAGGACCGAAAUUAAAGUAGGGAAGUCAUUGAAUCCACACUGGCGAGAAAAGCUGCUAUCGAGGAUAUAGGUGCCCGUACCGCAAACCGACACAGGUAGGCGAGGAGAGAAUCCUAAGACGAUCGGGAGAACCCUUGUUAAGGAACUCUGCAAAAUGACCCCGUAACUUUGGGAGAAGGGGUGCCUGGGUAACCAGGCCGCAGCGAAUAGGCCCAAACGACUGUUUAGCAAAAACAUAGGUCUCUGCUAACUCGAGAGAGGAAGUAUAGGGGCUGACGCCUGCCCAGUGCUGGAAGGUUAAGGGGAAGAGUUAGGAGCAAUCCGAAGCUUAGAACCGAAGCCCCAGUGAACGGCGGCCGUAACUAUAACGGUCCUAAGGUAGCGAAAUUCCUUGUCGGGUAAGUUCCGACCCGCACGAAAGGCGUAACGAUUUGGGCGCUGUCUCAA